This 77-nucleotide ribozyme is filed under the name Crocodylus porosus (Australian saltwater crocodile). RNAcentral's name for it is "Mammalian CPEB3 ribozyme (ENSCPRG00005002632.1)". It matches the Rfam family "Mammalian CPEB3 ribozyme". From Rfam's summary of the family: The mammalian CPEB3 ribozyme is a self cleaving RNA located in the second intron of the CPEB3 gene which belongs to a family of genes regulating messenger RNA polyadenylation. This ribozyme is highly conserved and found only in mammals. The record is from Rfam by way of RNAcentral. Lineage: Eukaryota; Metazoa; Chordata; Crocodylia; Crocodylidae.
AGUUGCAAGUUUGAGACCAUACCAGAAGUGCUCACAGCGCAGCCCUGUCAGAUUCCAACAAAUCUACCAAUUCUGCU